UACCCCCUCGCCCUCCCCAUCUCCUUUGUUUGUGGAGGACGGAUCUGACCUUCCCGGCUCCGCCCGUCACUCGUGAUUGGCGCCGGGUUGGUUGAAGCAUAGAGGUAUGAGCAUGGACCCCGUUUGUAGGGUAAUGGCUUGGUAGGUAGGCAUUCCCUACGCAUCCGGCCGUUGCCCGAGGGGACUUUGCUGGAGACCUAGCAGGAAUUCGGGUGCUCGGGCCACCCCGACCCCGAAACUCUUCA
This 245-nucleotide unclassified non-coding RNA is filed under the name uncultured Pseudochlorella. RNAcentral describes it as "partial internal transcribed spacer 2". The record is from RNAcentral. Lineage: Eukaryota; Viridiplantae; Chlorophyta; Trebouxiophyceae; Chlorellales.